This is a non-coding RNA of Schistosoma mansoni, 45 nucleotides long. NCBI's taxonomy places the organism in Eukaryota, Metazoa, Platyhelminthes, Trematoda, Strigeidida, Schistosomatidae. The record is from Rfam.
AUCCAACUGACGAGUUUAAAGUAGGACAAAACGCGCGUCCUAGAU